This 233-nucleotide long non-coding RNA is filed under the name Elaeis guineensis (African oil palm). RNAcentral describes it as "long non-coding RNA (EGUI_LNC055107)". Lineage: Eukaryota; Viridiplantae; Streptophyta; Magnoliopsida; Arecales; Arecaceae. The record is from RNAcentral.
UCCGGACUCCUAAGGGAGCCGGACUCCGCCCACGACUCCAACAGUAAGGAAACUCCACCCAGACCCCUAUGGGAGCCGGACUCCACCCCCGGCUGUGACUGAAGGAAGACUCCAUCCGAACUCCUGCUAAAGCCGGAUUCCGAGCUCCUCUCAAAUAGAUGGCUAACUACCUCUCUCCGCCAGACACUCCAGCCAGACUUCAGCCAGUAGACCUUCACCCCCUGGCGCGCCAC